RNAcentral lists this ribosomal RNA (460 nucleotides) under uncultured bacterium. RNAcentral's name for it is "partial 16S ribosomal RNA". It matches the Rfam family "Bacterial small subunit ribosomal RNA", at positions 338 to 795 of the family's 1533-position model. The record is from RNAcentral.
CCUACGGGAGGCUGCAGUGAGGAAUAUUGGUCAAUGGCCGUAAGGCUGAACCAGCCAAGUCGCGUGAAGGAAGAAGGAUCUAUGGUUUGUAAACUUCUUUUAUAGGGGAAUAAAGGUAUCCACGUGUGGAUAUUUGCAUGUACCCUAUGAAUAAGCAUCGGCUAACUUCGUGCCAGCAGCCGCGGUAAUACGGAGGAUGCGAGCGUUAUCCGGAUUUAUUGGGUUUAAAGGGUGCGUAGGUUGUUUUUUAAGUCAGCGGUGAAAGUUUGUGGCUCAACCAUAGAAUUGCCGUUGAAACUGGAAGACUUGAGUGUGUUUGAGGUAGGCAGAAUGCGUGGUGUAGCGGUGAAAUGCAUAGAUAUCACGCAGAACUCCGAUAGCGAAGGCAGCUUACUAAGCCAUAACUGACGCUGAAGCACGAAAGCGUGGGGAGCAAACAGGAUUAGAUACCCGAGUAGUC